Molecule: ribosomal RNA, 407 nt
Filed under: uncultured bacterium
Lineage: Bacteria
Description: partial 16S ribosomal RNA
Rfam family: Bacterial small subunit ribosomal RNA
Source: RNAcentral
AUUGAACGCUGGCGGCAGGCCUAACACAUGCAAGUCGAGCGGAGCGGCCGACGGGUGAGUAAUGCCUAGGAAUCUGCCUGGUAGUGGGGGAUAACGUCCUGAAACGGGCGCUAAUACCUCAUGCUCUCAGAUGAGCCUAGGUCGGAUUAGCUAGUUGGUGGGGUAAGGGCCUACAAAGGCGACGAUCCGUAGCUGGUCUGAGAGGAUGAUCAGUCACAAUGGAACUGAGACACGGCCCAGACUCCUACGGGAGGCAGCAGUGGGGAAUAUUGGACAAUGGGCGAAAGCCUGAUGCAGCCAUGCCGCGUGUGUGAAGAAGGUCUUCGGAUUGUAAAGCACUUUAAGUUGGGAGGCGUUACCAACAGAAUAAGCACCGGCUAACUUCGUGCCAGCCGCCGCGGUAAUUC